This 253-nucleotide ribosomal RNA is filed under the name uncultured bacterium. RNAcentral describes it as "partial 16S ribosomal RNA". It matches the Rfam family "Bacterial small subunit ribosomal RNA", at positions 524 to 776 of the family's 1533-position model. The record is from RNAcentral.
UACGUAGGUGGCAAGCGUUGUUCGGAAUUACUGGGCGUAAAGGGCGCGUAGGCGGUCUGCUAAGUUGGGUGUGAAAACUCUGGGCUUAACCCAGAGCCUGCAUUCAAAACUGACAGGCUAGAGUUCUGGAGGGGAUAGCGGAAUUCCUGGUGUAGCGGUGAAAUGCGUAGAUAUCAGGAGGAACACCGGUGGCGAAGGCGGCUAUCUGGACAGAGUCUGACGCUGAGGCGCGAAAGCUAGGGGAGCAAACAGG